Molecule: ribosomal RNA, 465 nt
Filed under: uncultured bacterium
Lineage: Bacteria
Description: partial 16S ribosomal RNA
Rfam family: Bacterial small subunit ribosomal RNA
Source: RNAcentral
CCUACGGGUGGCAGCAGUGGGGAAUAUUGCGCAAUGGGCGAAAGCCUGACGCAGCGACGCCGCGUGAGGGAUGAAGGUCUUCGGAUCGUAAACCUCUGUCAGCAGGGAAGAACGGUCACUGUGCCAAUCAGCAGUGAAUUGACGGUACCUGCAAAGGAAGCACCGGCUAACUCCGUGCCAGCAGCCGCGGUAAUACGGAGGGUGCGAGCGUUAAUCGGAAUUACUGGGCGUAAAGCGCUCGUAGGCGGUAUGUCAAGUCACGGGUGAAAUCCCCGCGCUCAACGUGGGAACUGCCUUUGAAACUGGCAAACUGGAGUGUGUGAGAGGAUAGUGGAAUUCCAGGUGUAGGAGUGAAAUGCGUAGAUAUCUGGAGGAACAUCAGUGGCGAAGGCGACUAUCUGGCACAUAACUGACGCUGAGGAGCGAAAGCGUGGGUAGCAAACAGGAUUAGAUACCCGUGUAGUC